Molecule: ribosomal RNA, 463 nt
Filed under: Streptococcus mutans
Lineage: Bacteria; Bacillati; Bacillota; Bacilli; Lactobacillales; Streptococcaceae
Description: bacterial SSU rRNA
Rfam family: Bacterial small subunit ribosomal RNA
Source: RNAcentral
GACGAACGCUGGCGGCGUGCCUAAUACAUGCAAGUGGGACGCAAGGGAACACACUGUGCUUGCACACCGUGUUUUCUUGAGUCGCGAACGGGUGAGUAACGCGUAGGUAACCUGCCUAUUAGCGGGGGAUAACUAUUGGAAACGAUAGCUAAUACCGCAUAAUAUUAAUUAUUGCAUGAUAAUUGAUUGAAAGAUGCAAGCGCAUCACUAGUAGAUGGACCUGCGUUGUAUUAGCUAGUUGGUAAGGUAAGAGCUUACCAAGGCGACGAUACAUAGCCGACCUGAGAGGGUGAUCGGCCACACUGGGACUGAGACACGGCCCAGACUCCUACGGGAGGCAGCAGUAGGGAAUCUUCGGCAAUGGACGAAAGUCUGACCGAGCAACGCCGCGUGAGUGAAGAAGGUUUUCGGAUCGUAAAGCUCUGUUGUAAGUCAAGAACGUGUGUGAGGGUGGAAAGUUCAC